GCGAGUGUGGCGGAACUGGUAGACGCGAUGGCUUCAAAAGCCUUUGACCUUUACAGUCGUGCGGGUUCGAUUCCCGCUGCUCGU
Molecule: transfer RNA, 84 nt
Filed under: Bracteacoccus minor
Lineage: Eukaryota; Viridiplantae; Chlorophyta; Chlorophyceae; Sphaeropleales; Bracteacoccaceae
Description: tRNA-Leu
Rfam family: tRNA
About the family: Transfer RNA (tRNA) molecules are approximately 80 nucleotides in length. Their secondary structure includes four short double-helical elements and three loops (D, anti-codon, and T loops).
Source: RNAcentral